UCCCUAGUAGCUUAAAUCAAAGCAUUUAACUGUUAAUUAAAAUAAUACUUAUAAAAUUAAGUCUAGAGAG
This 70-nucleotide transfer RNA is filed under the name Sympagella nux. RNAcentral describes it as "tRNA-Asn". It matches the Rfam family "tRNA". From Rfam's summary of the family: Transfer RNA (tRNA) molecules are approximately 80 nucleotides in length. Their secondary structure includes four short double-helical elements and three loops (D, anti-codon, and T loops). Further hydrogen bonds mediate the characteristic L-shaped molecular structure. tRNAs have two regions of fundamental functional importance: the anti-codon, which is responsible for specific mRNA codon recognition, and the 3' end, to which the tRNAs corresponding amino acid is attached (by aminoacyl-tRNA synthetases). tRNAs cope with the degeneracy of the genetic code in two manners: having more than one tRNA (with a specific anti-codon) for a particular amino acid; and 'wobble' base-pairing, i.e. permitting non-standard base-pairing at the 3rd anti-codon position. The record is from RNAcentral. Lineage: Eukaryota; Metazoa; Porifera; Hexactinellida; Lyssacinosida; Rossellidae.